AUGAAACUGAAGAAAUGUGAAGAAACAAUGAACAAUGUGUUGCUUCCACCAAAGCUGCAUCACAGAUAAUUUAUCAGCUAAAAAACUGUGCUCUUAAUAACAGGGGAGUGACAGCUAGGGUAGAACACACUGUACUGUUUCUCAUGCUGUUAUUCCAACAAGAAUGCUGGCUGCAGCCAAAAUAUACACAAAAAUAAAGGAAAUGAAAGGCAGCAGACUACAACUACAAUGGGUGAAUCUAGCAAGAUUUUGAGGUAGAUUGUCAUGAAGCAGAAACUGUUGAUUCCUAAAAGCACUGACCAAAGCAAACUGUUCAUUUUUGCCAAUCGAGAGAAACUAGGAUGAUACAGAGACACAUCAAUUGCCAGCCUACUUUGCUUCCCAUGUUCCACCCAAGUAAUCCUGCUUUGAUCACCUGUGUGUAUGUUUUGAUGAGUAAGUGUGGGAGUAUGGGAGUGAUAGAGGGUAAAGCCAUAGCCUAAGAGGAUUAAAUAAAAUUAAACUCUCCCUCUGUUGAGUUAGAAAUUUAAGAAGAAAUAUAAUUACUUUGCUAGAAAAUGAAAAUGUGGGGAUUUAUCUUUUUGUUUGUCUGUUUUUCAACAGGGUACUUCAUAUGAUAGCAAUCCCUGCCACCAGGAUGGAUCACAGAGUGGUAGCCAGAGUGGAUCAUACACCUCACAAAACUAUGGUGGUAGCCAGCAGAGUGGAUCAUCAUCCUCACAAAAUUAUGGUGGUGGUCGGGGUGGUUCAUCCUCACAAAACUAUGGUGGCAGCCAAGUAAGUAAUGAUUUAUUUCUCUAUUCAUACAUUAUUUUACACAAGCCUUAGCCCCUGCUCAAAAUUAGCUUUUCUGGUUGCUGAUUUUAUCUGAUUUUUGAUUGUUUGAUUUGUUUUAAAGGGUGGAUCGGGUGGAUCCUCUUCUCAAAACUAUUAUGGCGGUCAAGUAAGUAAUGCUUUAUUUCAGCAAUUAUACAUCACUUCAUACAAGCUUUAGCCUCUGCUCAAAAUUGGGUUUUCUGUUUGCUAGUUUUCUCUGUUUUU
RNAcentral lists this long non-coding RNA (1041 nucleotides) under Anas platyrhynchos platyrhynchos (common mallard). RNAcentral's name for it is "lncRNA (ENSAPLG00000017011.1)". The record is from RNAcentral. Lineage: Eukaryota; Metazoa; Chordata; Aves; Anseriformes; Anatidae.